RNAcentral lists this ribosomal RNA (580 nucleotides) under uncultured Acidobacteriota bacterium. RNAcentral's name for it is "bacterial SSU rRNA". It matches the Rfam family "Bacterial small subunit ribosomal RNA", at positions 40 to 598 of the family's 1533-position model. Lineage: Bacteria; Pseudomonadati; Acidobacteriota. The record is from RNAcentral.
CGGCGUGCCUCAGACAUGCAAGUCGAACGCGAAAGGGACCUUCGGGUCUCAAGUAGAGUGGCGCCCGGGUGAGUAACACGUAGGUAAUCUACCUUCGGGUGGGGAAUAACGCAGGGAAACUUGCGCUAAUACCGCAUAAUGCAGCGGCACCACAUGGUGACAGUUGUUAAAGCGGGGGAUUUUCGGACCUCGCGCCUGAAGAGGAGCCUGCGGCAGAUUAGCUAGUUGGUAAGGUAACGGCUUACCAAGGCGACGAUCUGUAGCCGGCCUGAGAGGGCGGUCGGCCACACUGACACUGACAUACGGGUCAGACUCCUACGGGAGGCAGCAGUCGGGAAUUUUGGGCAAUGGGCGAAAGCCUGACCCAGCAACGCCGCGUGAAGGAUGAAAUCCCUCGGGAUGUAAACUUCGCAAGAAUGGGAAGAAUGAACGAGUGCUAACACCGUUCGUGAUGACGGUACCAUUUGUAAGCUCCGGCUAACUCCGUGCCAGCAGCCGCGGUAAUACGGGGGGAGCAAGCGUUGUUCGGAUUUACUGGGCGUAAAGGGCGCGUAGGCGGCCAGCGCAAGUCAGUUGUGAA